CUGCUUCAAGGCGCUACGGCAGUUCCAGUGUAUGAGGUUAAGUGUCACAUCGAAAUCAGGUGGCUUAAGAUCUUUGGAUUGCCCUAUAGUUGCAACUGAAUGAACAACCGACUGAUGUGUCUGUGUAGCUGCAGCAUUCAACUGAACUUGUGUUUGCAUUUGUGAAGUAGCUUGAGGAACUGGAAGUCCACCAUGGCUAGGCACCAAAGCCUCUUUAACACAUCCAACAAUCUGGUCAUUCCAUUUGCAGGCAAAGCAACAACAGAUAUGACGUCCAGCAUUGUUGAUGGAGCAUCCCGAACAACUUGUUCUUGCACUUGCUGUGGAACAACUAAUCAGGGCUGACCCGCAUUCUCAACUUCAGGUUGAGGAUCUCUCUGUGCCCUAGUUUGAUGAGACCCAACUUGACUACCACCAUGGGUAGUACCAUAUCCAGCAGGUGCAGCAGAUCUAAGAACUAAGAAGGCACAUUUGAUAGCCUUUCACUGAAGUUUUUCUAUUCUAGGUUUAAGAUUGUGAACAAAACAAAUACAAUCAAACACAUGUGGAGGAAUUGAACACAAAGCCAUGUUACUUCCUCAAAAAAAAAAAAAAAGAAUUGAACAGAGUCUAGUUUGGGUUGAGGAUCGUGUGUGGACUCUUGUACUGCAAAAAGGUAGACGGCAUAUGAUUGAUUUAAUAUCAAGUGGUAAUAGUGGCAUCACCCCAAAAGUGUAAAGGAACAUGAUUGUGGAUGAGUAAUGUCCAAGUUGUUCCAAUGAGAUGUUGAUUCUUUUUGUCGGCAACUCCAUUUUGUUAAGGAGUGUGUACACAAGAAGACAAGUGCGAUAUACCUUGUGAUGACACAGACAGAAAGAGAAAAAAGAGAAAUAUCUUCUCGGUUAGCACCGAUUGAUUCUUUAUGGGCACCAAAUUGAUUGCGACUUUUAGUACAAAAAUUCUGAAAAUAGAGAAAAAUUCAGAUAUAUUUCUCAUUAAAAAUAACCAUGUGCUCUGAGAAUAGUCAUCAAUUAAUGUAACAAAAUAAUGGAAGCCUAAUGAAGAACUGACUUGGACCCCAUAUAUCCAAUAGAACAACUCCAAUCAUAGAGGAAGCCCUAUUAUUGACAGUUUGGCACUUAUUGGGAAAGAACUACGAUUGUGUUUCCCGAGUUGAAAAACGACUCACUUUCUAACUACUAUAAACUAAGAUAGACUUGGGACCAUCUUCUGCAGUUUUAAGAAGCUUGGAUGUCCCAUCUGACUUUGAAGCAAAUCAGAGGAAGUGAAAGCGACAUGUGGUUUUGGAGCGGAUAACUGGUAUAAUCCAUGUGUCUCAUGUCCUUUCAAUAAUCUAUCCCAUACUCCGGUCCUACACAAAAACAGAACUAGCAAAGUGGUUACAGAACAGUUGAAGUUUUUGGUUAAUUUACUACUGAUAAUUAGAUUAUAUGGACAUUUAGGUACAAAAAGAAUUUAAGUUAAAGGUAAUGAAGUAGAGGGUGAGGUACACCUAUUCCUUUGACAACAAUCAUUGAUCCAUUAGCUAAGGUAACAAUAGAGAAGGAGAAGGAGAAUUAAGGGUAGAAAAAAGGUUUUUGUUUCCAGAAAUAUGAUCAGAGUACCACACUCAAGAAUCCAUGGGGCAAGAGAUGAAAACUGUGCGACAUAGGCGAAGGAGUUACUAGGGUGUGCAAGCUGUAGAUGAGGUUGAUGGUUGUUGCUUUGACGUUUGGUACUAAAAACACCAAAAACAAUUCUGUUCGCUUCCUUUACUUGCUAGAUUCAUGUUAUUUGAUUUUUGCUGAGUCAUGAUGCCAAGACAAGCCUGUUGAAUCCUAGGGAAUGUGGAGCGACAUCCUUGAGGACAUUGAUUUUCAGGCUUAGGCUAAACAACUUCAGUUUCUACACCAUAUCUGCUAGUAAUAUUAGGCAGAUUAGGCAGCCCCUGUCUGUGGAUUUCCUUCGGUUCCUCUGAACAGCCUAGGGCCUACCAUAUGAACUGAAGCCAAUUUAUUUCUUAUUUUCCCCUGGCACAUAAUGCUUUAGAUUUACAGUUCAGAGCACCUAUAAUCUGCAAAAGUUUGAAGAGCUUAGAUAACAUACUUAUCACUGUAAAAGAUGAAGUAUCUUAUGAGCGUUGAAGCUUAAAGAUCAUUGUGACCUCAAAGCUACAUCAAAACUAGUGUAAAUGAUAAUAAUGUAGAUAAAAUAUGAUCUUGAAUGGGAGCGAUUUUCUAGAUGGGAAACAGACUAUGAAUGCUGAAGUUCCCUAUCUUUGGCAGCUAUUUUGAUGUGUUAGACUUUUAUGUUUUAACUCUUUCCACCACCCCUGCCCCACAUUGGAAACUUCUUGAUAAAAGACUUAAUCUUGUUCUUUUAUAUUCGGAGAAUAGUUACUCACACAAGGGAAUUCUCUUGAGCUUUCUGAAAAAUGUUUGAAAAGUGAAAUCCAUGGUUUUAGAUCAACUCCAGCUAAGUUUGUUUGACCAGCAGUAUUUGUUGUGCAUGUCUAGGCUAAUCGGCUAAGUUUUACUAUUGACGAGUUAAUUUGUUGUACAUUUUUUGCGGAGAUAGGAUCGCUAGCAAAUAUCUCUAUGUUGCAAAUCCAUUUCAAGCACAGUUUUCUUGUUUGGUACGCGGAGACUUCUAGUCAUGAUGUGUAAAUUUUUUGUUGGAUGAGCUCACUUUGUAGUAGGGGCGUGCCUAUGGACGAAGAUUUAAAAGCGUGGUGUGCCUGAGCUAUGCUUUACCUAGCAAGUCAUCAAAUGUAAAUGGAUUUUGGUCACUUUCAUAACAAGACAUCUUAUUUGGGAAUAAGGGAGACUAAAGAAUAAAGUCACUCUAGAGGUCAAUCUACUCCCACCAUCAAGGCUCAUACUUAUGGAUGCUCUAUCUUGAGGUUCGCUUUGACAUGGUACCUCUGUGUGCUGGUAAGAGCGUAAGUUUAGUGAAAACAUGAUUAGCAUUUGUUUUGUCAACAGUGAGACAACAUUCAACUUGUUAGUGCAUAUUUUCAUUGUUUUAUUUCAAUUCUAACGCAAAUUUUACCGGUAUAGGGAAUUCCUCUUUACUGAUGAUCUAUUUUCCGGUUCAUGUUCCUUCUAUUUUUAGCUCUUACCAUGGAGUAACUGGUAAAGUUGCUGUCAUGUGACCUCGAAGUCACGGUUUCAAGUCGUGGAAACAGACUCUUGCAAAAAUGCAAGGUAAGGCUCCGUACAAUAAACUCUUGUGGUUCGGCCCUUCCCCGGACCCCCCACAUAGCGGGAGAUUUAGUGCAUCAGGCUGCCCUUUUUUGGAAUUGCUUAAGCUGCGAGCAGGUUUGUGAAUCCUUUGGUUCGAGGGAAAAUUGAGCAAUACCAGAAUCCAUGAUAUAAUUAUUCAGAUCAAUUAUUAGGCCCUUCUCCAGUUCAGAAGGAUGUAAAUUUUCAGAUCCAGUUUAAUCAUGAAUGACAGUACAUCAUUAAUGACUUAACCCAUUUAAAAGAUAUUUAGGAAGAUUAGCCUUUAACUCUGUAAUUUACUUUCAGCUUAGUUGUAUUCUCCUAAGGCGGGGUGAUGUUUGAGUCUGAUGUUCUCUUUACAUUGAUUGCAAUGAAAGGAUCUGUAUAGGCUAAAUCCUUUCACCUCCUCUGGAAGACAUUUGCAUAGCUUUAUAGACAUGAUAUUGUUCAAGCCUAACCCCCAAACCAAUGAACCUCAACCAUUGGUGAUGGCUUUUUUGUUUUCUUUUUUUUUUUAAAAAAGAAAAAGAAAAGCAUUGAUUGCAAUAUCAUUAUCGAGUUAUACAAAGUAAUUUAUAUUGAGUAAUCGCGCUUCACUGACAGGCACUUUUUUUAAAACAUUUUUAUUUUAUCAAAAUUCAGUUUAAUCUUUAUGCUGGUACAAGUAUCUUAUGCAAUCUAAUUCUACAUUUUCCCUUGCUCUUGUAGGUGACACGUACAAACCAUUCUUACCUAAAUACAAAGAGGUAUCAACUUGCUGGUGCUUCUGCUUUGAUAUAGUUCUUUCCGAACAUUUGUUCAGUUGCAGCAGUAACAAAGUGGUACUAAAAUGCUGCAUUACUAGCUGGUGGUUUUGUUGCAUUGCCAUCAUACCUUUUCUUUGGUUUUUCUUCCUUUGUAUUUCGAGAUCAAGUGGAACUUCAUGCAGAAUUGUUAAGGCGUAAUUACUAUAUAGUAAGUGAAUAAAUUCUAUGUUCAAAAUCUGUUCGCAGGCUUUACUAUUGUUUGUUUAUUACCCAAAAAAGUUAUGUUCAGUAUCAUAGGAUACUGCAUAUGUACGUUUAAGGUCAUCCUGUAUAGAUUUUGAUGUACUCAUCAUGUCAAUUCUCUUUA
Molecule: long non-coding RNA, 4316 nt
Organism: Capsicum annuum
Lineage: Eukaryota; Viridiplantae; Streptophyta; Magnoliopsida; Solanales; Solanaceae
Exons: 2
Source: RefSeq, a predicted model, not a curated record